GGAUUUAUAGUUUAAUCGUUAAAACAAAAAUUUUCUAAAUUUUAAAUAUAAGUUAAAAUCUUAUUAAAUUCA
Non-coding RNA from Babesia ovata, 72 nucleotides. NCBI's taxonomy places the organism in Eukaryota, Apicomplexa, Aconoidasida, Piroplasmida, Babesiidae. The record is from the annotation of a RefSeq genome assembly.